UACAGAUUUUGCCGUUCUAUAACCGUUAUUUUCGAAUUUGAAAUGUUUAGCACGGAGGGCAGUUUAGUAACUUCAAUCAACGAUUAUAUAUACAAAACUAUGCGUUAGAUUGUUUCGUCUUUCUCUAAUUCUCUCUACCUGAAGGCUGAAGCGCACAUGUAGGGUUUAGAGCUCUCGUUCUUCAUCCAACGACCCUCUCGAAUCUCCUCCUCUCUGGAUCGAAUCCGGUGGUGGAUCAAUCAGCGGGUGAUUUUAAAUCCGAUCCGCCGCUCUACACGGUUCUCCUCGCCGUUGUGGUGUCGUUUAAUGAACACCCUGUCGCAGUAGUAGUCGUGAUCUAACGCCUCCGAACGCUUCCGAUUACGCUGAAAAUCAGGUAAUUAUUAUCCUGAGUUUUGUGGUUCAAGUUGCGUGGACAUACCAUUUACUGUAAGCUUGUUGCUUAAGUUAAUGGAUGAAGUGGUUAAAAGAAAUUUGAUCGAAGUUUCUGGAAAGGAGAAUGUUAUUGUUUUGCUGCGGAGACAAAAACGUUGGAAGACGUGUUUGGGUAUGAGCCAUGUCGAAUGAAGGUUACGUCUCUGUCACUCUCACAUACACACAAAUGUUACAUAAUACACGGAAAUUCAUAUACAAACCGACAAAAAGAAAACAGAAUACAAACACAUAAACACAAAACGCAUUCAACCACGAUAACAAAGCAGACUACAAAACACACAUACGCAUCGUCAAGCAUAACAAAACUACAAAACACGCAUACAAAACGUCACACACAACCUAGCGGAAAAAAACAGAAUACAAAACACUCAAACACAGCAAAACUCGAACAUACAGUAACUCACAAGUCACAACACAAAACUUUUUACAUACCAAUAACUCAAACACAAACCUAAACAAUAAAGAUGCAAUGCAAAGUCCUAAGAACUUCCAUAUUCAAUAGUGUUUCUCGUAUCAUUUUUCAUAUGAUAUUUGUUUCCCAUGAAUCAAAUAAUUGAGUGGGCAAGCGACUAGCUGAAAGAGGUAAUUUACUCUGCUUAUUUUUGAUCGAUGAAUAUAUCUCCAGUUUUUAGGUAUUGUUAUACUAACUGUUAUCUCGUGAACAGGUUCUUGAGCUGCAGCAAACAAAUUUUUAUAAGCAAUACAGACUCCAAGAGGUCGCAUUUGUAGUCUUUGAUACAUUCUUUCAGUAACUCAUACCACUACCAGGUUUCAAAUUCCACCUCUAAAUCUCGUUUGAAGCCUGAGUUUUGUGUGUGUGUGUGUGGCAGUUAGUUAUUUUCUGGUUACUUUGAAUUUUUUAACUGGCUUUCUUUCAUCCUGCUCUACUUUCCAAGAGAUUAUUCUCCGUAGAUGUGCACGAGAUCAAGGUGAUGUAUCUAUAACCCUGUACAACAUGUUCUGGCACAUAUCUUAAGUUUAUCAUGUUUUAGGUAAAGGACAACAAUUAGAAAUUCCUUUUGUUUCACUAUGAUUAGAUGUCUAGGAAAGAUGGUUCUUCUAUUCUGAUGUUUUUACUUUUGCCUUGGAUCUCUUCUUAUGGUGGUUGCUAGGUAUGUCCUACUGUCUAACCUUGAACAAUGAUCAUUCAUUCACUAAUCUUGCUCGGGGGACUUUUAGGUGACGUCUUUUAUUUAUGAUUUUUGAGCUUGUUAAAUGACAGAGAGAACUCCAAUGAACAAUGGGGAAUAACGGUUUUGAUUGAAGUCUUCAAGCUAUUCUUUAAGAGGGUGAUGAUGCACAACCAAAUUUCAGUCUGAUAUCUAACGUGGAGUGUUGGCCUUGUUUUCAGAACUGAAUCACUUACGAUAGCUUUACCAACCUCUCCAGAUAAGUAAGAAACUUCUAACACUUUAUAGAUUCAAGAGUGGGCUAGUGUAAUGUUUCGAGAAUUCUGACUUGGAUGAAUUUGUGGAUGUAAGUCAAGGUAAGUGUCUUUGCGUUUCUUUCUUUUCUUAUAUAUAUUGUUUCUGAAAAUAUAUAUUAUCAGAUCAAGCCAGUUAUGUUCAUAAGAACAAGAAUGCCGCCAUACGCUUUUAGCAGCCAAAAGCAAAUUACAAGUCAUGUGAAAACUGAGUGUCUAAUUACUUUGUAUUUUGCAGAUCGACAUAACUUACUGCUGCUGGAUAUAUAAAGGAAACAUUGACAAGAUUUGACCAAACUCUCAGAAAGAGCUACAUCACUUAAAGAUGCAACUGGCUAGGAAUCAAUUUUGUGUAUGUCGUCCACUUGGGAGAGCCAAUCAUUUUUCUUAUUACUUCUUUUAAAGAUGUUCAGAUUUUUGAGUUUCAGAAGCUGUGAAGGCAAAUCAUCAGUCCAGCAGAACCACUAAGAGUUGGGUGAUGAAAUCUCUGUCUCUCUUCUCAUGUAUAAAACUACUUACACCAACUCACACAAACAAAACAACAACAAAAAUCAAAACAUCACGAACACUCAACAAAUCACAAAAACUAACACAACAAAUACCGAACUAAAAGAAUUUCACAAACACUCAACAAAAUCACAAAAACUAACAUAGUAAAUACAGAAAUAAGAAACAAUAAAUCAAAUUGUAAUAAAGAAAACUUAGACACACACUUAAAUAAUCUCAAAAUAAAAGCUACACCAUGCCACGAAAUAAACAACAAAACUCGACAAACAAAAACGAGACACGAACAAAAAAAAACAACUUCACAAUCACACCACAAAACAAGAAUUAUCAUGGGCAUUUUUUUUCCUGUACGAAAGACUUGUAUACUUCUUUUCUUAUUAUGUUGAAUGCUUCUUUUUUACUUACUUGAGGUUUGUUGGAUUUAAAAAGCUUGAGUUUAAUAUCGUUUAAACAUUGUGUAAAAAAUAAUUAAUGCACGAUUUUUAAGGAUAUCUAUCGGUUCAUUUUUAUAUCAAUUUUAUUUGUUUAUUUUUAAAUUCAGUGCAACUAUCAUGUAAAUGAGAUUAUUAAUGAAAUGAUACUAGAUUGUUGUGCGCUUCGCGCGGAUUA
This is a long non-coding RNA of Brassica napus (rape), 2974 nucleotides long. RefSeq lists it as uncharacterized. NCBI's taxonomy places the organism in Eukaryota, Viridiplantae, Streptophyta, Magnoliopsida, Brassicales, Brassicaceae. The record is from RefSeq and is a predicted model, not a curated record. The transcript has 8 exons.